AGUGAACGCUGGCGGUAGGCCUAACACAUGCAAGUCGAACGGCAGCACAGUAAGAGCUUGCUCUUACGGGUGGCGAGUGGCGGACGGGUGAGGAAUACAUCGGAAUCUACUUUUUCGUGGGGGAUAACGUAGGGAAACUUACGCUAAUACCGCAUACGACCUACGGGUGAAAGCAGGGGAUCUUCGGACCUUGCGCGAUUGAAUGAGCCGAUGUCGGAUUAGCUAGUUGGCGGGGUAAAGGCCCACCAAGGCGACGAUCCGUAGCUGGUCUGAGAGGAUGAGGAGCAACCCUGGGACGGACGCACGGCCAGGACUCCUACGGGAGGCCGCAGGGGGGAAUAUUGGACAAUGGGCGAAAGCCUGAUCCAGCAAUGCCGCGUGAGUGAGGAAGGCUUGAGGGUUGUAAAGCUCUUGUACCCGGGAUGAUAAUGACAGUACCGUGAGAAUAAGCGCCGGCUAACUCCGUG
Molecule: ribosomal RNA, 467 nt
Filed under: uncultured bacterium
Lineage: Bacteria
Description: partial 16S ribosomal RNA
Rfam family: Bacterial small subunit ribosomal RNA
Source: RNAcentral